AUGCCGAGCGUCGGCGUGAAGAUCUACAGCGUCUUCUUCAAGCUGCUCCUGCGCCACCGCCUCCAGUCGCUCGCCGCCGCGGCCGCCGCCGACGGGGGCGGCGGGGACGGCGACGCGGCCGCCUUCGGGGUCUCCUGCCGCGCCGACGAGGCCACGGCGCCGGCCAACCCGGCCUUCUCCGCCGCCGACGGGGUCGCCUCCAAGGACCUGCACAUCGACCCCAACUCGGCGCUCUCCGUCCGCAUCUUCCUCCCCACGCCGCCGCCGCACCACCCGCACCUCCUCCACCCGCGCCGCGCCAGCGACCCCGCCGCCGGCCAGGCGGGCGCGCCCUACAGGGGCUACCUCCCGCACGCCGUCUCCUCCCCGCGGGCCGCCGCCUCCGCGCGCCGCAGGCUGCCCAUCGUCGUGCAGUUCCACGGCGGCGGCUUCGUCACGGGGAGCAACUGCUCCGCCUCCAACGACGCCUUCUGCCGGAGGGUCGCCAAGUUCUGCGACGCCAUCGUCGUCGCCGUCGGCUACAGGCUCGCGCCCGAGAGCCGCUACCCCGCCGCCUUUGAUGACGGGGUCAGGGUGCUUAGGUGGAUCGCCAAGCAGGCCAAUCUCGCCAUGAUGAGCAAGGUUGGGGGCGGGGUGGACACGUUCGGUGCCUCCACCGUCGAGCCCUGGAUCGCCGCACAUGGUGAUCCGGCAAGAUGUGUCCUACUUGGUGUAAGCUGUGGUGCCAACAUUGCUGAUUUUGUCACUAGGAAAGCGGUGGAAGAUGCAAAGCAAUUUGACCCAGUCAAGGUCGUAGCACAGGUUCUGAUGUAUCCCUUCUUCAUAGGAAGUGUUCCAACACACUCGGAAAUAAGGCUUGCGAACUCGUACUUCUACGACAAAUCCACAUGCUUACUUGCCUGGAGAUUACUUUUAUCAGAGAAAGAGUUCAGCUUGGACCAUCCUGCUGCCAACCCCCUGGCCCCUGGCAGAGGAGGACCCCCACUGAAAUGCAUGCCCCCAACAUUGACGAUCGUUGCGGAACACGACUGUAUGAGAGACAGAGCAAUUGCUUACUCCGAGGAACUCCGCAAGGUAAAUGUGGAUGCGCCAGUCCUGGACUACAAAGAUACAGUCCAUGAGUUCGCAACACUCGAUGUGUUCCUCAAGACACCACAGGCUCAGGCCUGUGCCGAAGAUAUUGCCAUAUGGAUGAAGAAAUACAUAUCCCUGAGAGGGCACGAGUUCUCGUAUUAG
Molecule: ribosomal RNA, 1236 nt
Filed under: Triticum aestivum (bread wheat)
Lineage: Eukaryota; Viridiplantae; Streptophyta; Magnoliopsida; Poales; Poaceae
Description: partial small subunit ribosomal RNA
Source: RNAcentral